GAUGAACGCUAGCGGCAGGCUUCACACAUGCAUGUCGAGGGGUAUAGUUCUUCGCAAUUAGAGACCGGCGCACGGGUGUGUAACGCGUAUGCAAUCUCCCUUUCACAAAGGGAUAGCCCAGAGAAAUUUGGAUUAAUACCUUAUAGUAUAGCGACUUCGCAUGGAGAUGUUAUUAAAGAUUUAUCGGUGAAAGAUGAGCUUGCGUCCCAUUAGCUAGUUGGUAAGGUAACGGCUUACCAAGGAUACGAUGGGUAUGGGUCAUGAGAGGGAGAUCCCCCACACUGGUAAUGAGACACGGACCAGACUCCUACGGGAGGCAGCAGUGAGGAAUACUGGUCAAUGGGCGCAAGCCUGAACCAUCCAUGCCGCGUGCAGGAUGACGGUCCUAUGGAUUGUAAACUGCUUUUGUACAGGAAGAAACACUCGGACGUGUCCGAGCUUGACGGUACUGUAAGAAUAAGGAUCGGCUAACUCCGUGCCAGCAGCCGCGGUAAUACGGAGGAUCCAAGCGUUAUCCGGAAUCAUUGGGUUUAAAGGGUCCGUAGGCGGCUUAAUAAGUCAGUGGUGAAAUCCCUACGCUUAACGUAGGAACGGCCAUUGAUACUGUUAGGCUUGAAUUAUUAGGAAGUAACUAGAAUAUGUAGUGUAGCGGUGAAAUG
Molecule: ribosomal RNA, 659 nt
Filed under: Bacteroidota bacterium
Lineage: Bacteria; Pseudomonadati; Bacteroidota
Description: bacterial SSU rRNA
Rfam family: Bacterial small subunit ribosomal RNA
Source: RNAcentral